CUUGCAGGGUACUCGAGUGGCGAACGGGUGAGUAACACGUGGGUGACCUGCCCCGCACUUCGGGAUAAGCCUGGGAAACUGGGUCUAAUACCGGAUAGGAGCCAUUUUUAGUAUGAUGGUUGGAAAGUUUUUCGGUGUAGGAUGAGCUCGCGGCCUAUCAGCUUGUUGGUGGGGUAAUGGCCUACCAAGGCGGCGACGGGUAGCCGGCCUGAGAGGGUGGACGGCCACAUUGGGACUGAGAUACGGCCCAG
This 251-nucleotide ribosomal RNA is filed under the name uncultured Actinomycetales bacterium. RNAcentral describes it as "partial 16S ribosomal RNA". It matches the Rfam family "Bacterial small subunit ribosomal RNA", at positions 79 to 334 of the family's 1533-position model. The record is from RNAcentral. Lineage: Bacteria; Bacillati; Actinomycetota; Actinomycetes; Actinomycetales.